RNAcentral lists this small RNA (127 nucleotides) under Marmota monax (woodchuck). The record is from RNAcentral. Lineage: Eukaryota; Metazoa; Chordata; Mammalia; Rodentia; Sciuridae.
GCCAGGCAUGGUGGUGCAUACCUGUAAUCCUAGGGGCUCUGGAGGCUGAGGCAGGAGGAUCGUGAGUUCAAAGUCAGCCUCAGCAACUUAGUGAGGUGUUAAGCAGCUCAGUGAGACCCUGUCUCUA